UGGGGAUGAGGGCAGGGAUGCAGGAAGGGAUGUGAGCAGGGAUGGAGAAAGAGAUGUAGACAUAGGGGAUGCAGGGAUGUGGGCAGGGGUGCAGGUGUGGAUCAGGGCUGAGCCACACCCCUGAAUCCCACAGCACAGGGUGAGAAAAGCCCCAUCAGAACCCCCCAAACCUCCUCCUGGAGAAAGGCUUGGCCCCAGGGCUUUCCUGGCAAUAAUUAAUUGAGUCAUAUUUCAAUCCAGCCAGCGGCCAUAUGGUA
Molecule: long non-coding RNA, 257 nt
Filed under: Ficedula albicollis (Collared flycatcher)
Lineage: Eukaryota; Metazoa; Chordata; Aves; Passeriformes; Muscicapidae
Description: lncRNA (ENSFALG00000023467.1)
Source: RNAcentral